RNAcentral lists this ribosomal RNA (376 nucleotides) under uncultured bacterium. Its description in RNAcentral is "bacterial SSU rRNA". It matches the Rfam family "Bacterial small subunit ribosomal RNA", at positions 524 to 898 of the family's 1533-position model. The record is from RNAcentral.
UACGUAGGGGGCGAGCGUUGUCCGGAAUUACUGGGCGUAAAGGGUGCGUAGGUGGCCUUUUAAGUUGGAUGUGAAAUACCCGGGCUUAACUUGGGGGGUGCAUCCAAAACUGGAAGGCUAGAGUGCAGGAGAGGAAAGCGGAAUUCCUAGUGUAGCGGUGAAAUGCGUAGAUAUUAGGAGGAACACCAGUGGCGAAGGCGGCUUUCUGGACUGUAACUGACACUGAGGCACGAAAGCGUGGGGAGCAAACAGGAUUAGAUACCCUGGUAGUCCACGCGGUAAACGAUGAAUACUAGGUGUAGGGGGUAUCAACUCCCCCUGUGCCGGAGCAAACGCAAUAAGUAUUCCGCCUGGGGAGUACGGCCGCAAGGUUGAA